RNAcentral lists this transfer RNA (63 nucleotides) under Aphrodita australis. RNAcentral's name for it is "tRNA-Asp". Lineage: Eukaryota; Metazoa; Annelida; Polychaeta; Phyllodocida; Aphroditidae. The record is from RNAcentral.
GAAAAUCUAAUUAAUAUAUAAUAUUAACUUGUCAAGUUAAAAUAACCACUAAGGUGAUUUUCU